CUUCCGGCAAAGGGGCGUGUGCUGCUUCAGCUGCCACUCAGGACCUGGGACUCAGACUCCGGACCUGGGACGCUGGAUCUCCGCUCCUGGACUGGCUCUUUCUCUCAGCUGCCGGACCCCGAAUUUAAAUCAGUACAUCUGUCCUUCCCAGACCAUGAGAGGAUGGUUAACUUCUCUUUCCUGAUUCCGCCUCUCACUGCCUGUCACCACGAGUUAGUUCAGGUGCCAUCCAUUAGCUAGUGACCAAUGACAUCCAUUAUGCAUGGCUAUGAAUAUUUAUCUAGUGCCUUAUGCCUGUACCAGAGAGGAUAGGGAAAGAGGAGUUACAAAGAAGCUUUUCUUCCACACCAGAUGACCAGCUCAACUGAAGAAACUAAGUGGAUCCAUCUUCAGUUUCUUCCAUGUGACCAGAGAAGAUGGCUACUUGCAACCACAGCUUCACACCAUCCUGGUUUGAGAGCCAGUAGAAAGAAAGCAACAUUUUUCUCUAUACAUGUGUGUCUAUCCCAGGCAAGACUCUCCUUGGUCCUGUUCUCAAAAUAGGCUUCUGUUUAUACUCAGUGUGCCCAGGAGAAUGGAGUACUGAGGCUGACCAUUACUAAAGCAUAACUGAUAUCCCAUCAGAAGCAGAUAGAGUGCAGAAAGUAUUUUCCAAGGAAUCAGAGGACAGCAGGAGGUAAGUAUGCUAAACUAUAGAAAUGAUAGAUGCUAUAGUUUUUUACAUGAGUUGUCUUUCAUUAGAGCUCUUCUGAGACUAGAUAUCAAGGUAGCUUCCAAGCUCUCUGACAACCUUUGACAACAAUAUCCUACCAUGAUUUGAUCAGUAGAAUUGUUAAUUUUAAAUGUCAACUUGACUGGGCCAUAGGGUGCACAGAUAUUGGCCUAAACAUAUUCACUGAAUGAAAGCAGAUUGCCCUCCCCAAUGUCAGUGGGCCUCAUCCAAUCUGUUGAAGGCUGGAAUAGAACAAAAAGCAGAAUAAGAAAAAAUUCAUUCUUUCUGCUUGACUGUCUUUUAGCUGGGACAUCUCCUUCAGCCUUCAGUGCUUCUGGGUUCGUUGGAUCUCCUAGGUCUCCAGACUGCCAACUGCAGAUCUUGGGACUUCUUAGACUCCAUAAUCCCAUGAGCACUGCCCUACCCUCUAUGAAUAUGUGUAAUGUAUGUAUAGGCUUCCCAGCUGGCACUAGUGGUAAAGAACCUGCCUGCCAAUAUAAGAGACAUAAGAGAUCCAGGUUCAAUCCCUGGGUCCGGAA
Molecule: long non-coding RNA, 1251 nt
Organism: Bubalus bubalis (water buffalo)
Lineage: Eukaryota; Metazoa; Chordata; Mammalia; Artiodactyla; Bovidae
Exons: 3
Source: RefSeq, a predicted model, not a curated record